CACACUGCCCUCCACCCUCCCACACCGGCUCCUGGGCCCCAGUGGGUGUCAUUGUCCUUAUAUCUGCUAGUGGCCUUCCUGUGACUGGCCUGGCCAGAGAGGGGAGUGGAACCCACACCUUCUGGUGCUAGGCCCAGCCCAGGAGAAGCCACCACUAGGUUUCUCAACAAGAUCAACGGGAGAUUGUGAAAAAUCAUCUUCCUCUCUCGUGGCAGAAGGGACUGUCAUCAAAGCUCAGGCUGGGAGGUAUUCUGACUCCUGAGGGUCAAGGUCAGUGGCUGCCCCCCAGUAAUGCCUCAGGACUGCCCAGCUCCUCAGCCUUCUCCCCACACUCCCCUCCCCUAGGGGGAGGUGGGGAGGCACUGCCAUUCCCUUUGUAGACACUGAGGCUCAGAGAAGGGGAACAGCCUGUCGAAGCUCCAGGACUCCAUGAGCUUGAUCCCAUGAGCUCUUAGGAGAAAGGAGUGGCGGACCCGCAGGCCCUUGCGGCAGGGGUGUCUUCAGAGCCCAGUCUAUGCACUGGGAGCCCUUCUGCCCAGCCUCCAGUCUUCUUGCAGGGCACUGUCCCAGAUGGGCCCUAAUUUGCUCCUACAUUUCAAAAGACCCCAGGCUGCACUGGGAAGAAAGGGCUCUGCCUCUGCUCUCCAGGUAGAGCCCAGGAGAAGGGCAGGGCUGAGGGCCAGGAGCCUUAGGGUGCCAACCCCCAUCCAGGCCAUUGUCUCCCGCAUUAUCUCCCUGGACCCUCAGAGAGCCCACAAGGCAGCUGUUAGUAUUGUCCCCACUUUACAGAUAGGGAAACAGAGGCCUGCCCCAGACUGUAGGCUACAAAGCGUUGUGGCUGACAUUCGAACCCUGCUCUGUCUUACUCCAGAGCGCAGGUCCCUAGGGCUUGGGGGUUGUGGGAAGACGCAGGAGGAGAAGGGCAUGCCUUUAACCAGAUGGCAGAGGAGGGGUGCAUCCCAGCCACGGGCCUGGCUCCCUGGGCUUGUGGUCUGUUGUGUCCUCUGAGCCCUCUAGUGAGUGCACACAAGCCAGACCCCAACUGGUCACAUCUCCUGCAUUAGCCACAUGACCUUGAGCUAGCUGCUUCCCAUUUUUGGACUGCGGAUGCAGAGUUAGGAAGGAAAGGACCCCAAUAUUUUGAAUUCAGGUUGCCUUGUCUUAUCAAAACCUUCUGCAAGAGACAGAGAAGUGUUUUGCUGACUCAGCAGUGGGGGCUUAAAGCCCACCUGCGCUCCCCGGUGCACCCCCAGGCAUCCCAGGGACUUCCAGGAGCAGCCAUUGUGGCUUCUGAGGGGAAGAAGGUACUCUCAGUUUCCAAGGUGAAACAGAAGAGAGGAGAGAAGUUAGCAUGUCUUCCUGACCUGGUGCCCAGGGUGGGCAGGAGCCUGAGAAUGGCGGGAGGGCACAGCAUGGGGCACAGUGUGGGGCAAGUCCCCCUGUGGCUCUCUGCCCAGGGCCUCUGGCCCCAGCUGACUAAUGUUCCCCUUGAGCAGGUGCAUCUGUCAUCUGUGAUCAGCCCACAUCCUGGAAGGCCACAGAACAGCCCUGUGGCAGGGAGAAGAAGCAAGGGGACUCGCAGAGUUGGAGAGGGAGCAGCCGAGCUGAGACAGGAGGGCAGUGUGGGUGGGGGUUGUCCCACACUAGGGUUGGCCCAGCCUCCCCCUCCCAUCUGCCACCUUAGCUCUAUGCCCAGUGUGCCCUCUCCAUCAGUCUGGCCAGGCCUGAGUCAGGAUCAGCCAGGAAAAGCAGCUGCUAGUCUUUUCUGACCUGGCCUCCCCACUGCCCAACACCCCCAGCCUUCCCCAACCUUCAGCACAUGGCAGAUGGCGGGGCAGGCCAGGGGCAGAUCUCAGUCCCCUGCCACUGGUGCCACACGCCCCUGUGCCCAGCUCUCUCAAGGUGGGUACUCUGGGCAGUGCCCAAGAGAACGAAACUCUAGCCCCACCUGUGCCCCGCUGACAAAGGGCAGGCCCCUCCCCUCCCUGGGUCUCAGUCUUCCCAUCUGGGUCUGAGAGAGGCUCACAGCAUUUGCCAGGCCCUGUAAUGAGCAGUGCAGGACUGGGAGGGCACGGGCCUGGCUGACUCAGGCCAAGGCCACCUCCAGCAGUGCCCCCACAUGUGCACACUAAUGUCCAUGGUUAUUGCACAGAACCCGGAUCCUCACCAUGUGGGACUGAAGGACCCUGGGCAGGAGACGGGCAUAGCCAGGAGGUGUCGUGACUGUGCCUUGUUGGCUGUGAGCCCUGGCUUUGAACCAGCAGACCUAGGCUCAGUCCUGUCCCCAUCACGCACUGGCUGUGUGUCCUCUGACAGGUUACUUAGCUCCUCUGUGCCAUUGUCUCCUUGUUUUCUUGGGGGAAGUCUGAAUAUCACAGAUCUCUCCAGAUAAAUGUAAUCCUAUACCAACCAGCUUGGCCUGGUCCCUGGCACAGAGUGAGGCCUCCACACGUGAAGGGAAUACCUAUGUCAUUCCUUCUGGCUGCUGGGAGAGCCUGGGAGGGCCACCAAGAGGCAAUGUGGCCAUGGGCAACUCAAGCCCACCCCUGGGUUAAUAUGACACCCUCACUGCAAGGCAGCGUGGGGAGCUUGUCCUUGUCAAGGUGGCAGCCAUCAGAGGAGGGCAGAACAGCCCAGUUCUCCCCUCUUCUGCUCUAGUGCUAUGAGAGGGAUGGGGCUCAGGGCUGUAUGUGCGUGUGUGUGUGCAUAUAUAGGUGUGUUCGUAGGCAUGUGUACAUAUGUGUUUGUGUGUGUGUGUGUGUGUGUGUGUGUGUGUGCAUAUGUGCAUGCAUGCAUCUUCAGGGACUCAUGACAACUUUGUCUCCCCCAACAAGGCGAGCUGCCUGGCCCAUGUCUGUCUGUGACCAGGGGUGAGUGGAGAAUCCAGACUCCCCAAAGCUUCCCCAGGGGCCUGCACGACACAACGCCCACCACUGCUUCCUGCCAUCUGCCUCGAGCAAUGGAAAUAGAGCCAGUGACAGCAAGCAGUGCUGGGUGGGCCAGUCAGUCUGUGCCGCAGCAGCCGUGGACAGGGUGGGGGUUGGGAAGCCCCUCAUCUGAGCAGUCUGCCUGUCCCCUGCUGGCCCUGACCUCAGGGAAGCCCUACCAGAAAGGAAGGGGCUAGAAUCAGGAUACCUCCUUCCCCUUCCAGGCAAGGCCAAGAAUUUUCUAUCUGGAGGGACAGACACUCUAAACAAACUCUCCAAGCUGCAUUUUCAGAUCUAUCAAGGAGAUGUAUAAGAACAGAGUAGCCCAGGCCUCUCUGCAUCAAACAAUCCAGUCCCUGGGCAGGCAGCCGGUGGGAGCCUCCCCACGUGAUUCCGGUGGGCAGCAGCUGAGAGCAGCAUCUGGGAGGAGUCAGCCGUGCAUCUUGCCUAUGCACAUGCUCCUAGAGCGCCACCUCUGGGGAAACGAGCCUGAAUGCUUUAAUGAAGGUUUUCCAGGACCCUGCCUGGCCUCUGGCCAUGCAACCCACCUUCUCACAGGCUACCAUGUGCCCCCUGGUCACCUCUGCCACAUGAACUCUGGACGGCUCUAUGGGAGUUUCUCUGGAGCACCGUUGCUGAGAACCGUGGAGACUGAACUAGCAGCUCAAGGGUUUCACCUUGGCACACCCCUGACAAUCUGACUCCAUCUUCUCAGCCAGAUGGGCCCCCACAAUAUGAAGCUGUGCCUUGCUGGGAAUGGAGCAGGGAGUGGGAUGCUACCCUGUGGGCCACCUGGCCUCUCGGGGACCCACAGGGUGGUGUGGAGACUCUCAGGUAGAGACGGGGCUGUAUUCACCAUGAGAGGAAGGUAUGGGGACAGCUACAUCCCCUCAGUGACAGUUUUCUCAGGCACUGGGGAGUCACCACCCCUCCCUCACUGCCCACAUCUAGAGUAGGUCCUAAGUAUCUGUCUCCAUAAUAUCCCCAGCACACAGCCGUGACCUCCACCUGGCUCAGCUUUCCCCGCCUCUCCUGGGCCUGGGCACCCCUCACCUCCCCCAGGUGGCCCCCUGUCUCAUCAUCCCCCAACCAGACCUGCAUAGUCUACCAGGCCACCCUUCUGAGGCAGCUCUGGCUCCAGCUGAACUUGGGUGGCAGAGAGGAGCUAGGGCAGCUGUGGCCUGCCAGGAGGACACUGUCCCAAGCCAGCCAGCUGGCAGGUCUGAGAACCAUCCGGACCAGUGCUGUCCAAUGGAGACAUGAUGAAGCCACAGAUGCCACUUAAAAUGUUCCAGUAGGCACAGAAAAGAAAGAAAAAAAGUUAAAUUAUUUUAACCAUAUGUUUUAUUAAACCCAAUGUAAAUGAUUAUCAUUUCAACCUGUAAUCGAUAUAAAGCAUUUUUAAUGAGCUAUUUGAUAGUCUAGUAAGUAAAUGUUUGGAACCUGUGUGUGUUUAAAUGGAGGGCACUUCUCAGUGUGGACCAGCCACAGGUCAGUUUCAGCAGCCUGUGUGGUGAGACGUCGCCGUCACUCAGACUUGGGGUGUUGCCUGGCUGAGUGGAGCAGGCCGCCAGCCUCAGCCACAGAGAGAAACACAUUUCUUGCAUUUACUGUUUUGCUGCAUCUGUUGUGACCUGUGCUAUUGUUUCUUAUUAUUUUUCUUUAAAUUAACUCAUGUGUUGAAUUUUAAUGAAUCCAUUUAAAAGGGAAUCUUUAAACCGGCAUCAUAAGUAGGAAGCCAAGAGCAGAAAUGGAAGGUAACCACCACAGUGCCUGGAACUAAGGCAGCAGCAUAAACUCCUACCUACCGUCUGUGGCCUGUUGAGGCUCUGAGCUGAGGCCACGCCCUCCCUUUGAAAGGGGACGGCAGUGGGGAGUUGGAGGGUGCACUGGCCCUGAGUCUGAGUCAUCUCCUGCACCUUGCAGGCACAGCCCCCCAGUGCCAGAGACCUCAGGCCAAAGCCCCCUGGACACAGCUGACUCAGAACUGGUUGGGUUUACCCCUGUGGAGUAACAGAAGAACACACACCCCAGGGACCCUGGCAAGCUGCAUGAGAAGGGGUGAGCUAGAAACCAUUAUAGGAUUUGGGGUUCUGUUGGAUGCUUUGGGUAAUUUUGAGGUUCUAAGCAACCUCAGAAAGUUGGUGUGAGCAUUAAAUAAGAUAAUCCCUCCAAACACCGAACUCAGCAACAGCACACAGCAGGUGCAUCACCUAUGCCCUCCCUUUUCCAUCCGUCCCCCGGCUCCGCACAGGCCAGGAGGACUUAGAAGGAAGUUAAGACCUGGUCCUGGCCUGCCUGGCUGGGCAGGAGCUGCAAACUGCUGCCCCCAGCUGACUGGCAGAGAAUGGCCUGGCCACCAGCAGCCUCUACCCUUGAGGGAAACUUGUGACCUUCAAGAAGGUUGCAGGUCCCCAGGGCCAGCCUAGGGCUGUUUCUGGGACACAGCCCCGAACGCCCACACUGUCAGGUGUGCCACUGGGGACUCUGUGUGACCCCAGGGCCCAGAUCUUCUGGCUUCACUGGUCUCUGCCACCUAAUUCUGACCAUCCCCUGAAGCUGGUGGACAAUGACAGUUCUGUUACCCAUUAAAAUGAGGCCAGCAUUGAGCAGGAGUGGGAGGAGAGUCCCAGGUGAAUUCUGAAGAACACAGGGGACUUUUGAUCAUUCGUGAGUGUUUAUCAAUGGUCUUGUGCAUGCUUGCAUUUCUUACAUCCUCUUUUUGGAUGUGUGAGAGUAUUUUUUGAUGGAAAUCUUUACUGAGCUCAUUGUAGAUUCACAUGCAGUUUUAGGAACUCACAGAGGGCCUUUGUACCCUUUACCCGGUUUCCCCAAUAACAGCAUCUUGCAAAACUCCAACACGAUAGCACAAUUAGAGUGUCUGCAAUGAUGCAAGCCACCAGUCCUACUCCGAUUUCCCAGUUCACACUCACUCAUUUCAGUGUGCCUUUUGUGCUACAAUUUCAUCACAUGUGUAGGUUCCAGUACCCAACAGCACCGUCAGGAUGCAAAACAGCUCCGUCCCCAGGAGGCCUCUCCUGCUGCCUGUGAGAGCCACACCCCCUCCCUCACACCUGCCUCACCCCAUCCUUAACCUCAUCCCUCUAAUCUGUUCUCCAUUUCUAAAAUGGAGAACUUUGUCAUUUUACAAUGUUAUAUAAAUAGAAUCACACAGAAUGUGA
Molecule: long non-coding RNA, 6109 nt
Organism: Cebus imitator (Panamanian white-faced capuchin)
Lineage: Eukaryota; Metazoa; Chordata; Mammalia; Primates; Cebidae
Exons: 2
Source: RefSeq, a predicted model, not a curated record